Molecule: ribosomal RNA, 234 nt
Filed under: uncultured bacterium
Lineage: Bacteria
Description: partial 16S ribosomal RNA
Rfam family: Bacterial small subunit ribosomal RNA
Source: RNAcentral
UGAGUAACCUGCCCUUAACUCUGGGGUAAGCCUGGGAAACUGGGUCUAAUACCGGAUAUGACUCCUCAUCGCAUGGUGGGGGGUGGAAAGCUUUAUUGUGAUUUUGGAUGGACUCGCGGCCUAUCAGCUUGUUGGUGAGGUAAUGGCUCACCAAGGCGACGACGGGUAGCCGGCCUGAGAGGGCGACUGGCCACACUGGGACUGAGACACGGCCCAGACUCCUACGGGAGGCAG